CAAAAUUUCAUUCUUAAAAUGGUAAUGUGUGGCAAUGAUGAAGAUUUUACGUUGAGAGCUUAGAAUGUCUUAUUUUCUCUGGGAUCGUAAACAUCAUAAAGUCACCAAAUAAGUACCAUUCAAAUGCAUCAAGUAUUGAAUCCAAGGAAGUAAAGUCAGAAACUCAGAAUCUUUGGUCCCAUUCCUGAACAUAAGGUAAAAUUUUAUCUCAAUUUAGAAUUCUUGCAAUUUGUAAUUACCAAAUUCAUUCACACCUCAUAUUCAUGCGAAGAAUUUUUGCCUUUGCUAUAAUCAGAGUCAUUCAAUCAUUUACAAGAAUUUAUCUAUCCUCAAGAGAGAACAGAGAAAAUAAAUUCAGCUUAGAUGCAGGUUGUUCACGCAAAAACCCACAUUCAUGAGCACACAAAUUUCAAUCUCACAUUCUUGCUAAACAUUUGCAGAAUCUAUAUAGUAAUGACUUCUGCAUCCUUUUCAUUUCAACAUUGCAAAAAUAUGUUGUAAAGAGACAAUAGGUCAUACGAACAAGAUAUAUCUCUGUAAGAGACCUAUAAGCAGUAAUUAAUUGAAAUCUAUAAGAUACCUCAAUCCUAUUCACACAAAGUAUUUGAAGCCAAGCACUGAUCAAACGAACCAGCUUUUUGUCACUGGACUGCAUUACCCAGCAAGCUGUUUGUUGAAGGUGAACUCUGUUCACUUAACCAAGGAUCAUGCACAGAAACGGGUGAGCUAUCUUUCACUUCCUCCAAUGAAGUCAAACAAUCUGCUGCCUUCUGUGGAACAAGUAAUCUCCGGCUUGCUACACCGGCCUUCUUAACUGAGGAAACACCUAGUGACUUCUCACUUCCAUUGUCGGGUGAGGAACAAGAGGAAGCUGCUGUUGAGGCGGAGUACAUGCUUGGAACCCAUGAACUAAGCCUUAUGUGCUCUAGCUCUUCCGCCACUUCCAUCAUUGUAGGUCUCAUAUCCCUAUGAAAAGCAAGGCAUCUAAAUGCAAGCUCCGCCACAUUAUGUAUGGAUGAUAAUGUCCAAGCAUCCCUAUGUGGAUCAAGGUAUGGAUCUAUUAUCUCAUCAACACAACCUCUUCCAAUCCUAUCAAUAGCCAGCGCAGCCAAGUUUACCUCAGAGUGAGGUCGAGAAAAAUCAACUACUUUCAGUGAGGUUAUGAUCUCUACAAGAACUACUCCAAAACUGUAAACAUCACUUUUAUCAGAGAGGUGAAAAUAUUGAUGGUAUUGAGGAUCAAGAUAGCCUGGAGUCCCUUGUGGGGCUGUUGAGAUGUGAGAUGACUCAGUCAUGCCAAGUCUAGAAAGGCCGAAAUCAGCUACCUUAGACUUAUAGUUGUAAUCCAAAAGUAUAUUGCUAGAUUUGAUGUCUCUGUGAUAAAUUGGUGGGUUCAUGGCAGAAUGAAGAUAAGCAAUAGCAUUAGCAGUUUCAGCAGCAACGGUAAGCCGUAUAGUCCACGGAAGCCCUUUGCCCCUCUCUCUUUGCAAAUGCUGACACAGGGUUCCAUUGGGCAUAAAUUCAUAUACAAGGAUCGGUUCACCUUCCUCUAUGCAGCAGCCUAAGAGGCGGACCAAAUUUGGAUGGCUAACAGAGGAAAGGAGCUUAAUUUCAUUCAUGACUUGAUCAAUGCUAUCAGUAUCUCUAUGUCGGAUCUUUUUUAUAGCAACCCAAUCAUCAUUGUGGAGUUUUCCUGCAUAAACUGUACCAUAGGCUCCAGUUCCCAGCCUUUGUUUCUCUGAGAAGCCAUUGGUGGCUUUUUCAAUUUCUCUAUAUGCGUAAAAGGGAACACUAGAAUUGCCUGCAGCUUCACAUAGAAGUCGCUUUGCACUCAACCUGUUUCUCAAAGAAGUGGAUCGCCGUCGAACAAAGUAACAGAUAAGGGCCAGACCAGCCAUUAACAAAGCGCCAGCAAUAAUCCCUGAUAACAUAAAAAUGUGGACCAUUGUGACAUUCAGAAGGGUGAAGAAAAAAAGAAACUAAUAUGAUAUUUUUCAAGAUUAUUGCAAAAACCCAGAAUCAGGUAAAUGUACUCAGCCCUAUGCACAAAAGACAACCAUAUGUAAAAUUAGAACCUUCCAAAAAAAAAAUUGAAUUACUAUCUAGUAGUAGCCAGCUAACUUGAAGACAUGCAUCUAAAUUUAUUCAUCAUUCUUGUGCAUGAAAGUCUAAAUUAUUAAAUAAUAUAUAAUGAGUUGACAAGCACAUCUUAAAGCAGAAAGUUGGGGAAAACCACCCAAAAAUAAAUUUAAAUAUGCAGAAGGCUCGUGGUUCAAAGACUUUGAGAGUUUCUUCCAUUUAAAGCAAAAGACAUUAACUUAAUUGCAAUUCAUGGAUUUCAAAAGUUGAUAAAAAAAAGAAGGAAAUGGAAAUUUUUGUUUGUUACUGUUGUAUAGCUUAAGAAACUUACCUCCAACAAGAACACCGACUCUAGUAGUUCCACCACAUUCCCCAUUAAUGUACUUUGAUGGGUUGCAGCCAGAAACUGACGAUGCUGCAAUCAGGAAAGAUCAGAAGAGAUGUCUAUUUGAAAAUUACAAGGAUAUAAGUACAAAAUGUGAUCAUAAAUCAGAUUACACUUGCAUUUCAUAUUGAAAUUACAUUCUAAAUUUUCCCUUGUUUGACAACACUUACAAGUCUAAUAUUUCUGUAAUCCUUAGGUUCAAAGUUCAAACCAUUUUAGUAUGAUACACAAAAACUAGCCCGUAAUACCACCUUAUAGCAAUAUCAAAUAAAAGAAAGAAAAAAAGUUCAAACCAUUCUAAAUUCAAACAAAAGACAGCCAAACCAGACACAUUUUUAUGUGCAAACCAAAAUCGUUUAGAUAACAAAAUCCGUUUCCACCAUCUUUUAUUGCAUAUGUAUAAGCACAUUUAUCACACUGUAUAAUUUUCUCUGAUUCAGAAAGUGUUGAAUACUGUUGACAUGAUUUAGUUGUUUGAGCUUGAGGUUGCCUCUACCAAAAUGACUUAAGCCAAUUUGGUUGAGUUCCCCCUUGCUACAUGUUCAUGUUAUUUUCCGGUGUGGGACUCCCGACACUCUAAACCGUUGAUGCUAAUGAAACGAGCAGAGCUACAGAAAAAUGGAUCCAUAAAAAUUUUCUCCAUCUUUUUUAUGUCCAAUGGAUAGUCACAAAAUCACAGACAAAGUAGUUCCAUAAUUCUGCCAAGUCAAAAACAAGACCCUUUAGUCUCACACCACAAUUUGGUCAAAUGGCUUUGUUCACCUAAACAACUUUGUAGUUAAAAGAUUGAGAUUCUUGAAGGAUGUUAAUUUUUGGCAGGAUUAGCAAAGUCAAAAACAGGGUAGUGAUUUUUCAAACGCUACAGGAGGCUAUGAUCGUGGCAGGUAUAAUGCAUUGAUUAUGGUCAGACUUGUGUUUGGGUAAGACAUAAAAAAUAAAGUGAAAUGCAAUUAGAAUUGCUUUGAAUUGGUCUAAAAUGACUUCAUGCACAACAUUGGAACCCUAAAAGUCAAAAUUUUAGUAUUUUCCUUGUAUAUGCAUGUCAUUAACUAUUAUUUCCACUUAUAAACACUAAUCUUUCAAGGUGUUUCUCCGGCUUUAAAGAUUAAGAAGUAUAAAGUCUUGAAUUCGAUGUAUUCAUUUGUAAGAAAGAAAAAUAAAAGACUACUUUCAUGAAAGAAAAUGUGUUUGCCAUUAAACCCUAAACAAAAUUUUAACAUAACAUUGAUUAGGCAAUAUCCCAUAUGGUCCUCAGGGUCAUAUUUAUAAACUCUAAAUUCUUUUUUUUUUUCAGCUUUUAUGACCAGAGACCGCCGAUACUCCAUUGAAAUGUCUUUCCCCAAACUCCAAUUAGCCAACUCAGGCACCCACUUUCCCCAAUCAAAAGCCAACCCAUGCCCACGCCCACCCCACCAAAAAUCAAACACAAACAAUAUUUAAAUAAAUAAAUAAAUGUACAAACAAAUAAAUCAAAAGACAGAUUUGACUCACCGCUCCGGCAACCUU
RNAcentral lists this unclassified non-coding RNA (3970 nucleotides) under Hevea brasiliensis (rubber tree). Lineage: Eukaryota; Viridiplantae; Streptophyta; Magnoliopsida; Malpighiales; Euphorbiaceae. The record is from RNAcentral.